Molecule: ribosomal RNA, 774 nt
Filed under: uncultured Neocallimastigales
Lineage: Eukaryota; Fungi; Neocallimastigomycota; Neocallimastigomycetes; Neocallimastigales
Description: partial large subunit ribosomal RNA
Rfam family: Eukaryotic large subunit ribosomal RNA
Source: RNAcentral
CGCAUCUGUGCAUGCAGCAUAUCAAUAAGCGGAGGAAAAGAAACUAACAAGGAUUCCCCUAGUAACGGCGAGUGAAGCGGGAAGAGCUCAAAUUUGAAAUCUUAAAGGGUUUCCCUUUACGAAUUGUAGUUUAAAGGAGUGUUUUCUGUUGAGGUUUUGGUAAAAGUUCUUUGGAAUAGGACAUCAUAGAGGGUGAGAAUCCCGUAUUUGACCUUUACUUUCAACUUUGUGAUACACUUUCAAAGAGUCGGAUUGUUUGGGAAUGCAGUCCAAAAUGGGUGGUAAAUUUCAUCUAAAGCUAAAUAUUGGCGAGAGACCGAUAGCGAACAAGUACCGUGAGGGAAAGAUGAAAAGAACUUUGAAAAGAGAGUUAAACAGUACGUGAAAUUGUCAAAAGGGAAGCGUUUGACACCAGUGUUGUUUUUCUGAAAAUCAAUUAAAGAACUGUUUAUGCUAAGCUGUUUAGACUUUAUCAGCUAUCUGUUUAGUUUUGAGCUUUUCUUUAAUGCACUUUUCAGUUAACAAGUCAACAUCAAUUUCUUUUGCUGUAAAAAAGCUUGAGGAAGGUGGCUUGAGAUUCGUCUUAAGUGUUUAUAGCCUCUUGCCUAUGCAGUCGGAGAGAUUGAGGUCUGCAGCGUAGAUCCUUCGGGGCUAAAUGCAUUUGUGCUAAGUUAUAGCAUUUUAUAGACAACUUGUUGACUAUGAUUUGUCUUGUAGCUUACUCGCUUAUGUUAUUUUACCUACGCUUAGGAUGUUGAGUCGUAGAGCACGCAG